UUAAUACUCCCUCGGUUCCAAAAUUCUUGUCUUAGAUUUUUCUAGAUAUGAAUGUAUCUAGAUAUUAACACGUGCCUAGAUACAUCCGUAUCUAGACAAAUCCAAGACAAUAAUUUUGAGACGGAAGAAGUAUAUU
Non-coding RNA from Hordeum vulgare subsp. vulgare (domesticated barley), 136 nucleotides. The record is from Rfam. NCBI's taxonomy places the organism in Eukaryota, Viridiplantae, Streptophyta, Magnoliopsida, Poales, Poaceae.